GUUGCACAUUUAAUAUGCUGUUCAAAUCUGGGGAAUACUGACCUUAAAUCAGCAUGGUUGAAGUCCCCAGCUAUAAUGUGCACUGCGUUUGGAUGGGAGUUCUGCUGGUUGCUUAUUGUCUUGUGCAGCUCCUCCAUGGCCGAGUUAGCAUUAGCAUCGGGUGGUACAUACACGGCCGUUACCAUGACAACAGUAAACUCGCGAGGUAUGUAGACGGGUCUGCACUUCACAGUCAAAUAUUCCAAAUCCGGGGAACAAUGGCUGUCUACAAUCUUUGUGUUUUUGCACCAGCUGUCAUUGGUGUAGAUGCAUAAACCCCCUCCUUUGAUCUUACCGGAGUGGCCGUUCCUGUCGUGACGGUGGACCGUGCAGCCUGCUAGCUCAAUAGCCGAGUCCGGAAUUGAUGGCUGCAGCCAAGUCUCUGUGAGUAAUAUUAUGCUACUGUCCCGUACACACUUGUUGACUGCAAUCUGUAAUCUCAGUUCGUCGAUUUUGUUGGUUAUGGACCUGACGUUAGAGAGGAAAAUACUCGGAAGCGGUGGCUUAAAUGGCUGUUUCUUUAGCCGUGCUAGUGGGCCCGCCCUGCAGCCACGCUUUUGCCUCCUUUGUUUACGUUUCCUCUUUGUCUUGCCGCUGGGAAGAACCAACCACGGAGACCCUGGAGCUCUUAUUAUGUCCUCCGGAAUGCCGUGAAAAUGGUGGUAGUCCGAUGUAAUGCUCCUUGCACAGCGUAAUCCCAAACUCAGAAGGUCCUGACGACUCAGGUUGGAUAAGGGCUCAGCUCUUACCCAGAGGCUCGCAGACGAGCUCGACAUUAGCUCGUCACUUCUGGGGAAGCCGGAUUGCAGGAUGCUCGUUGUACUUGUUUGUGUGCUGGGAGAAGUGUGAGUUUUAGACUGAGACAGCUCCAAGCAGAUCAAAGCUCUGCAGGAGGUGUAGUAAAGACAGGGUGUGGUGGUCUGAGGGUCGGAAAGGCAGACUAAUGGAUAUUAUACUAAUGGGCAAAGGCAGUACGACUAUUCAGGCAAUUAGAACAGGAAAGAGGGCGAGUGAGGAUUGGUGAUGAUGGACCUGAGUGACUGCCAUCACUCAGACCCCUGAACUAAUGAACACAGAAGAUACAGACCAUCAUCUUCGCUGGACACAAAGAUCUUUUUUUUUUACUUUUAAGCGGAAAUAUUUUCCCCUGCCACCUGGAAAUAUUGGAAACAGAAGAUGUUAUGCUGUUUGUUACAUCGGGAGACCUAUUGUGUAGAUUAUUAUCUUGUCGAAUAGUUGUGGUAAAUAUUUCCCACAAAUUACAAAAAUUACAAACGCACACAUUACAAUAAUAAAAGAUGUAUUUUUGUCAUUUUUGGAAUCAGAAAAUUCCCAUUUAUAAAUUUAAAUAUAUUUGGAGAUACCUAUCAUCAAGGAAAGUUUAUAUAAGAAUCAUAGGGGCUUUAGUUUGUAGCAUAAACAUGGCUCAAGAUACAGUAUGAAAACACUGACACCACAAAGGCAGCCAGCAGAUGUCAUGGUUUUCGAUUUUUGUUUGUUUUUGGAUGUCACUGUACACCAGCAGUUAGUUUUUCAAGCCAUCCUUGCAUCUUCUGUUGAAUUCUUUACUUUUUUUUCUUUGCUUUUGCAUAUUUGCAUGUUUGCCUUUGUGUGUACACCUUAUUUGUUUCAGUAGCUGCCUCUGUGUGUUGGUUACUCAAGAUUUGGAUUUUGGACUUUUACUUGGUCCUGGUUUCCUGCACUUCAUUCUUCUCCUGCUCCAACAAUUACAUUGGGAGAUAAAUUAUGAAACAUCUCUAAUUCAUUUUCUCUAUGCAUUGGCUAAGAUAUCAUGUCCAAAUCCUUCAUCAAUCAAGUGGAACUGUGGUUUAAAAAGCAAAAAAAUAUUUCUUCUUCUACUAUCUGAAAAUGUCAUUCUGAAUUUGUGCUAAAUAGGAUCAAAUUAAGUUAUUAGUUGCUUUUAAAAACUUUAUAUCUGCAGAGAUAUUCGACAGGCAAAAUAAUCAUCAUUCAGUCUCACAGAGUAAAUGUCAUAAAUUAGUCAACAAUACAAUCUCUGUCUAAACUGUGCCGUAAACACAGGUGUUAAUCUCCCAGCAGCGAGUACAAAAUUUAAACCGCAUGAUGCAAGACUCUCCAGUCGUGCAGCGCUGGGCGAGUUUAGUUAAUGGGAGAGGUUUUGACACUCGCACCAACUUUCAUUACAGGCAGUGAAAUGCUGGAUGCAA
Oreochromis aureus is the source of this 2228-nucleotide long non-coding RNA. RefSeq lists it as uncharacterized. The transcript is spliced from 3 exons. NCBI's taxonomy places the organism in Eukaryota, Metazoa, Chordata, Actinopteri, Cichliformes, Cichlidae. The record is from RefSeq and is a predicted model, not a curated record.